UGACGCUGCUGAAGUGCAGCUCGAAUGCAGAUGAUGGGACACCUGUCCUGCUGGAAUCAGAGGCGCGCCCGCAGGAGCGAGCGUGGGAAGCGAGCGCGCGCUCUGAGAGGGGCGCACAGACGGAUAUUACCGCCUUUACCGCAUUACAGAAUCCCACUGCAUCAUAUGUGGCCAAACCAACAGCGACACAGCAAGCGGGCAUCUCUAGAGACUAUUCACACCCUUCACACAAUCCACCAAUCCCUCCUUAUGAUAAGCGAGAAUGAAGGAGGAGAAAAACACAGGGAGGAGCAGGGAACCCGUGUUCCAGGAGGUGGGAUGGCACAGCUACGACCAUUAAGAGAUCCAGAAUGUAUUUAAUCACCAAGGUAACCCCAGGCAGAUGGACACAUCCAGGAAAUGAGUCCCAGCAGCUAUUUUUGUGAACCAUCACUCCUGCUAACCACACUGCAAAAAAAAACAAAAAAACAGUUUUUGUGUUGUUUCAGUAAUAAUAUCUAACCGGUCU
This is a long non-coding RNA of Sinocyclocheilus anshuiensis, 508 nucleotides long. The record is from Ensembl. NCBI's taxonomy places the organism in Eukaryota, Metazoa, Chordata, Actinopteri, Cypriniformes, Cyprinidae.